RNAcentral lists this ribosomal RNA (914 nucleotides) under uncultured archaeon. RNAcentral's name for it is "bacterial SSU rRNA". It matches the Rfam family "Archaeal small subunit ribosomal RNA", at positions 1 to 909 of the family's 1478-position model. The record is from RNAcentral.
UUCCGGUUGAUCCUGCCGGACCCGACUGCUAUUUGGGUGAGGAUAAACCAUGCGAGUUGUAUGGGAUACCUAAAUUUCCCAUGGCAAACUGCUUAGUAACACAUGAUCAACUUACCCUAUGGAGAAAUAUAACCUCGGGAAACUGAGGAUAAUAUUUCAUAGUUGAAUAGGCUUGGAAAAGUUUUUCAAUGAAAGGGAUAAGAAAAAUGGUUCUUAUCUGCCAUAGGAUAGGAUCGUGGUCGAUUAUGGUUGUUGGUGAGGUAACGGCUCACCAAGCCGAUAAUCGAUAGGGGCCGUGAGAGCGGGAGCCCCAAGAUGGGUACUGAGACAGCGACCCAGGCCUUACGAGGCGCAGCAGGUACGAAACCUCCGCAAUACACGAAAGUGUGACGGGGUUACCCAAAGUGUUCUUAUUGAACUGUGGCAGGUGAGUAAUGUCCCCUGCUAGAAAGGAGAGGGCAAGGCUGGUGCCAGCCGCCGCGGUAAAACCAGCUCUUCAAGUGGUCGGGAUAAUUAUUGGGCUUAAAGUGUCCGUAGCCGGUUUAGUAAGUUCCUGGUAAAAUCAGGUAGCUUAACUAUCUGUAUGCUAGGAAUACUGCUAUACUAGAGGGCGGGAGAGGUCUGAGGUACUACAGGGGUAGGGGUGAAAUCUUAUAAUCCUUGUAGGACCACCAGUGGCGAAGGCGUCAGACUGGAAACGCGCCUGACGGUGAGGGACGAAAGCUAGGGGAGCGAACCGGAUUAGAUACCCGGGUAGUCCUGGCCGUAAACGAUGCAUACUAGGUGAUGGUACGGCCAUGAGCCGUGUCAGUGCCGUAGGGAAACCGUUAAGUGUGCCGCCUGGAAGUACGGUCGCAGGCUAAAACUUAAGAUGCGGGGAGCACACAGGGUGAGCUGCGUCAUGACUCACGCCG